This is a long non-coding RNA of Rhinolophus ferrumequinum (greater horseshoe bat), 585 nucleotides long. RefSeq lists it as uncharacterized. The transcript has 3 exons. The record is from RefSeq and is a predicted model, not a curated record. NCBI's taxonomy places the organism in Eukaryota, Metazoa, Chordata, Mammalia, Chiroptera, Rhinolophidae.
CUUUUGCUGCUCUGCCAUCAACUGCUCUGGAGGGUAAUCAGGAACCGUGGUACCCAGAAUCUUGGGCAUCAUCAGACAUUUCCCAGGAACUUGUUCUGGAUGGAGAUAAUUCCCACAUGUUGACGAGAAAAUGUCCAGUGUCACCUUGCCACUUCCACAUCAACAGAAGGCGUCUAAUUCCCUUCCCUUUUGUUCUGCAUCAUCUUAAUGACCAUUUUCCUGAAAAUGUGUCAGAAAUGCUGCUGUCUGACUUCCAGGUUAGGUCAAAGGAGGUCACAUCUUGUCCAUCUUUCUCCCGUGGAACAUGCCCUCCAGAUGCUGCCUCUUGAGAUGCUCCCGCUCAGACCCCCACCAGUUGUUAAGGACCCAAGGCACAAGGAGCGGCCAUGUCUAAGGCCCAGCUGGACCGAGCAUUUGAGUCGUCUUAUCCCAGGUGCCAGACAUCUGCACAGUGAGCCUCCAGAUGAUUCCCUCUCCAGCCACGGAGUCACCCAGGCUUCACGUCUUCCCAGCUGAGGCCCAGAGGUAACGAAGCAGAGACACACCAUUUCCUCUGUGCCCUGUCCAAACUCCUGACCCACAGAA